GAAUUGGUGUUCUAUUUCUAACUUACCAGCACCUCCAGGUACUUGUAGAAAACGAAUAGCAUGGCUGAAUGGUAGCAUAAGAUUUAGAAAGCUUGUAAUGCGGCUUUGUAACAUUCUUGGCAAGCGUUAUGUGAAGUAUCUGGAAAAAUCUAAGAAUGCAUCAGUUCAUCAAGAUGACCCCAAACUGAUUUUAACUAGUUCAG
RNAcentral lists this unclassified non-coding RNA (203 nucleotides) under Hevea brasiliensis (rubber tree). Lineage: Eukaryota; Viridiplantae; Streptophyta; Magnoliopsida; Malpighiales; Euphorbiaceae. The record is from RNAcentral.